CAUGGCCAAGCGGUAAGGCGGUGGACUCUGACUCCAUAAUCGAAGGUUCGAAUCCUCCUG
This 60-nucleotide transfer RNA is filed under the name bovine gut metagenome. It matches the Rfam family "tRNA", at positions 6 to 65 of the family's 71-position model. From Rfam's summary of the family: Transfer RNA (tRNA) molecules are approximately 80 nucleotides in length. Their secondary structure includes four short double-helical elements and three loops (D, anti-codon, and T loops). The record is from RNAcentral.